AAGGUUUUAAGUUAUUAAACUAGUAGCCUUCAAAGUUACCAUAAAGAGUAACUUACCCUCUUAAACCUUA
This 70-nucleotide transfer RNA is filed under the name Euphausia pacifica (North Pacific krill). RNAcentral's name for it is "tRNA-Trp". Lineage: Eukaryota; Metazoa; Arthropoda; Malacostraca; Euphausiacea; Euphausiidae. The record is from RNAcentral.